RNAcentral lists this ribosomal RNA (1485 nucleotides) under Bacteroidaceae bacterium Smarlab 3301643. RNAcentral's name for it is "16S ribosomal RNA". It matches the Rfam family "Bacterial small subunit ribosomal RNA". Lineage: Bacteria; Pseudomonadati; Bacteroidota; Bacteroidia; Bacteroidales; Bacteroidaceae. The record is from RNAcentral.
AGAGUUUGAUCCUGGCUCAGGAUGAACGCUAGCUACAGGCUUAACACAUGCAAGUCGAGGGGCAGCAUUUUAGUUUGCUUGCAAACUAAAGAUGGCGACCGGCGCACGGGUGAGUAACACGUAUCCAACCUGCCGAUAACUCGGGGAUAGCCUUUCGAAAGAAAGAUUAAUAUCCGAUAGUAUAUUAAAACCGCAUGGUUUUACUAUUAAAGAAUUUCGGUUAUCGAUGGGGAUGCGUUCCAUUAGUUUGUUGGCGGGGUAACGGCCCACCAAGACUACGAUGGAUAGGGGUUCUGAGAGGAAGGUCCCCCACAUUGGAACUGAGACACGGUCCAAACUCCUACGGGAGGCAGCAGUGAGGAAUAUUGGUCAAUGGACGAGAGUCUGAACCAGCCAAGUAGCGUGAAGGAUGACUGCCCUAUGGGUUGUAAACUUCUUUUAUAUGGGAAUAAAGUAUUCCACGUGUGGAAUUUUGUAUGUACCAUAUGAAUAAGGAUCGGCUAACUCCGUGCCAGCAGCCGCGGUAAUACGGAGGAUCCGAGCGUUAUCCGGAUUUAUUGGGUUUAAAGGGAGCGUAGGUGGAUUGUUAAGUCAGUUGUGAAAGUUUGCGGCUCAACCGUAAAAUUGCAGUUGAAACUGGCAGUCUUGAGUACAGUAGAGGUGGGCGGAAUUCGUGGUGUAGCGGUGAAAUGCUUAGAUAUCACGAAGAACUCCGAUUGCGAAGGCAGCUCACUAGACUGCAACUGACACUGAUGCUCGAAAGUGUGGGUAUCAAACAGGAUUAGAUACCCUGGUAGUCCACACAGUAAACGAUGAAUACUCGCUGUUUGCGAUAUACAGUAAGCGGCCAAGCGAAAGCAUUAAGUAUUCCACCUGGGGAGUACGCCGGCAACGGUGAAACUCAAAGGAAUUGACGGGGGCCCGCACAAGCGGAGGAACAUGUGGUUUAAUUCGAUGAUACGCGAGGAACCUUACCCGGGCUUAAAUUGCAUUUGAAUAAUCUGGAAACAGGUUAGCCGCAAGGCAAAUGUGAAGGUGCUGCAUGGUUGUCGUCAGCUCGUGCCGUGAGGUGUCGGCUUAAGUGCCAUAACGAGCGCAACCCUUAUCUUUAGUUACUAACAGGUCAUGCUGAGGACUCUAGAGAGACUGCCGUCGUAAGAUGUGAGGAAGGUGGGGAUGACGUCAAAUCAGCACGGCCCUUACGUCCGGGGCUACACACGUGUUACAAUGGGGGGUACAGAAGGCAGCUACCUGGUGACAGGAUGCUAAUCCCAAAAACCUCUCUCAGUUCGGAUCGAAGUCUGCAACCCGACUUCGUGAAGCUGGAUUCGCUAGUAAUCGCGCAUCAGCCAUGGCGCGGUGAAUACGUUCCCGGGCCUUGUACACACCGCCCGUCAAGCCAUGAAAGCCGGGGGUACCUGAAGUACGUAACCGCAAGGAGCGUCCUAGGGUAAAACUGGUAAUUGGGGCUAAGUCGUAACAAGG